Molecule: ribosomal RNA, 301 nt
Filed under: uncultured bacterium
Lineage: Bacteria
Description: partial 16S ribosomal RNA
Rfam family: Bacterial small subunit ribosomal RNA
Source: RNAcentral
CAGCAGCCGCGGGAAUACGAAGGGUGCAAGCGUUAAUCGGAAUUACUGGGCGUAAAGCGUGCGUAGGCGGUUUGUUAAGUCUGUUGUGAAAUCCCCGGGCUCAACCUGGGAAUGGCAAUGGAUACUGGCAAGCUAGAGUGUGUCAGAGGAUGGUGGAAUUCCCGGUGUAGCGGUGAAAUGCGUAGAGAUCGGGAGGAACAUCAGUGGCGAAGGCAGCCAUCUGGGACAACACUGACGCUGAGGCACGAAAGCGUGGGGAGCAAACAGGAUUAGAUACCCCUGUAGUCCCUGUCUCUUAUAC